RNAcentral lists this transfer RNA (72 nucleotides) under Alosa alosa (allis shad). RNAcentral's name for it is "tRNA-Phe". It matches the Rfam family "tRNA". From Rfam's summary of the family: Transfer RNA (tRNA) molecules are approximately 80 nucleotides in length. Their secondary structure includes four short double-helical elements and three loops (D, anti-codon, and T loops). The record is from RNAcentral. Lineage: Eukaryota; Metazoa; Chordata; Actinopteri; Clupeiformes; Clupeidae.
GCCGAAAUAGCUCAGUUGGGGAGAGCGCUAGAUUGAAAAUCUAAAGAUCCCUGGUUCAAAUCCGGUUCGGCA